This 553-nucleotide ribosomal RNA is filed under the name uncultured prokaryote. RNAcentral describes it as "bacterial SSU rRNA". It matches the Rfam family "Bacterial small subunit ribosomal RNA", at positions 41 to 546 of the family's 1533-position model. The record is from RNAcentral.
GGGGGUCCUAAUACAUGCAAGUCGAGCGAAUGAUGAGGAGCUUGCUCCUCUGAUUUAGCGGCGGACGGGUGAGUAACACGUGGGUAAUCUGCCUGUAAGACGGGGAUAACUCCGGGAAACCGGGGCUAAUACCGGAUAAUAAAAAGAAACGCAUGUUUCUUUUUUGAAAGUCGGUUUCGGCUGACACUUACAGAUGAGCCCGCGGCGCAUUAGCUAGUUGGUGAGGUAACGGCUCACCAAGGCGACGAUGCGUAGCCGACCUGAGAGGGUGAUCGGCCACACUGGGACUGAGACACGGCCCAGACUCCUACGGGAGGCAGCAGUAGGGAAUCUUCGGCAAUGGGCGAAAGCCUGACCGAGCAACGCCGCGUGAGCGAUGAAGGCCUUAGGGUCGUAAAGCUCUGUUGUUAGAGAAGAACAUGUACGACAGUAACUGCUCCUACCUGGACAGUACCUAACCAGAAGGCCACGGCUAACUACUUGUCGGCAGCCGCGGGGAUACUUUGGUGUCAUGCGUUCUCCGUCAUAUUGUAUUACCGCCCUCGUGGCUGCU